AUUGAACGCUGGCGGCAGGCCUAACACAUGCAAGUCGAACGAGUGGCGGACGGGUGCGUAAUGUCUGGGAAACUGCCUGAUGGCGGGGGAUAACUACUGGAAACGGUAGCUAAUACCGCAUACCAGCAGAUGUGCCCAGAUGGGAUAAGCUAGUUGGUGGGGUAACGGCUCACCAAGGACACGAUCCCUAGCUGGUCUGAGAGGAUGACCAUCCACACUGGAACUGAGCCACGGUCCAGACUCCUACGGGAGGCAGCGGUGGGGAAUAGUGCGCAAUGGGCGAAAGCCUGAUGGAGCCAUGCCGCGUGUAUGAAGAAGGCCUUCGGUUGGUAAAGUACUUUCAUCGGGGAGGCGUUACCCGCAGAGGAAGCACCGGCUAACUCCGUGCCAGCCGCCGCGGUAAUUC
RNAcentral lists this ribosomal RNA (406 nucleotides) under uncultured bacterium. RNAcentral's name for it is "partial 16S ribosomal RNA". It matches the Rfam family "Bacterial small subunit ribosomal RNA", at positions 30 to 526 of the family's 1533-position model. The record is from RNAcentral.